RNAcentral lists this ribosomal RNA (322 nucleotides) under uncultured eukaryote. Its description in RNAcentral is "partial 18S ribosomal RNA". It matches the Rfam family "Eukaryotic small subunit ribosomal RNA", at positions 1470 to 1796 of the family's 1831-position model. The record is from RNAcentral.
CCCUUAGAUGUUCUGGGCCGCACGCGUGCUACACUGAGUGGAUCAGCGGGUCAGGUUGCGCGAAAGCGUUUCCUAAUCUUUAAAUCCGCUCGUGAUGGGGAUUGACGGUUGCAAUUUUCUGUCAUGAACGAGGAAUACCUUGUAAGCGCGGGUCAUCAUCCCGCGCUGAAUACGUCCCUGCCCUUUGUACACACCGCCCGUCGCUCCUACCGAUUGAGUGGUCCGGUGAGGCUUUGGGAUCUGAGCGGAAAGAGCGUUUCGCUGUUUCUGCUCGGAAAACUCAGUCGAACCUUAUCAUUUAGAGGAAGGAGAANUCGUAACA